Molecule: long non-coding RNA, 390 nt
Filed under: Rattus norvegicus (Norway rat)
Lineage: Eukaryota; Metazoa; Chordata; Mammalia; Rodentia; Muridae
Description: long non-coding RNA NONRATT025385
Source: RNAcentral
CCUCCUGGGCUCUUGUCUUGAUAGCUGGGGAGGGGCCUGAGCAGGCUCAUGCUGGCUGGCUAGUAUUUCCCACACUGACAUCCAGACUUGGUGCUAUCCCUCAUCCCCAGAGCAGGCUGAAGGCAUGCGAGCAGUCACAGCGCGAUAGCAGUGGGGGCACCAGGGGCCUCGUCCAAGGACAGUCCACCCAUGGCUCAGGCCAAGACAGGCCACGGCCAGAGACCCAGGGUUCCUGGGCCCUCCUCCAAGAGACGAGUCUACAGGAAGUAUGGGCUGUGGCCGGGUCUGUGUGGAUUGCCCCUGUACGUGCCCUGAACCGCCCAGUCUGCUAGCAGACAGUACACACAGGCAUCACGACAGGACUUGGCCACAGCACCCCACCAGCGGCCG